This 468-nucleotide ribosomal RNA is filed under the name uncultured bacterium. RNAcentral's name for it is "partial 16S ribosomal RNA". It matches the Rfam family "Bacterial small subunit ribosomal RNA", at positions 28 to 507 of the family's 1533-position model. The record is from RNAcentral.
GACGAACGCUGGCGGCGUGCUUAACACAUGCAAGUCGAACGGAAAGGCCCUGCUUUUGUGGGGUUCUCGAGUGGCGAACGGGUGAGUAACACGUGAGUAACCUGCCCUUGACUUUGGUAUAACUUCAGGAAACUGGGGCUAAUACCGGAUAUGAGCUCCUGCUGCAUGGUGGGGGUUGGAAAGUUUCGUCGGUUGGGGAUGGAAUCGCGGCUUAUCAGCUUGUUGGUGGGGUAGUGGCUUACCAAGGCUUUGACGGGUAGCCGGCCUGAGAGGGUGACCAGCAAAAAUGGGACUGAGAGACGGACCAGACUGCAACGGGAGGCAGCAGUGGGGAAUAUUGCACAAUGGGCGGAAGCAUGAUGAAGCAACGCCGCGUGCGGGAUGACGGCCUUCGGGUUGUAAACCGCUUUCGCAUGUGACGAAGCGUGAGUGACGGUAAUGGGUAAAGAAGCACCGGCUAACUACGUG